This 3819-nucleotide ribosomal RNA is filed under the name Triticum aestivum (bread wheat). Its description in RNAcentral is "partial small subunit ribosomal RNA". Lineage: Eukaryota; Viridiplantae; Streptophyta; Magnoliopsida; Poales; Poaceae. The record is from RNAcentral.
AUGGAGCACGCGCGCGGGCCUCUUCCUCAGGGCCCUGCCGUGCGUCUCGCCAACAACGGGCCGCCCUUGCUGCCGUUGCGGCAUCCUCCCCAGUUCACGGGCGCAGGGCAGCCAGCGGCGUUCAUGGCGGGCCGCGACGCGCACCACGGACCGCGCGACGAGUACAUGGUCAAGCCGCCCAAGCAUGAUUUCCCUCACUUCGACGGCGACUCGCCCAGCCUCUGGAUCGACCGUUGCAUCACCUACUUCGACCUGUACCGAGUUCCGCCGCACAGUUGGGUGACCACGGCCUCUCUCUACAUUGAUGGCCAUGCGGCACGCUGGUACCAGGCAUACAGGCAGACACACCGCGCGCCGAACUGGGAGGAGUUCACCACGGCCAUCAUCAGCGAAUUCGCGCCAGAUGAGUUCGAGACAGAGAUGCACCAGCUGCUCCAGCUUCGUCAGACCGGCACCGUCGCCGAGUACAGAACGGCGUUCGAGACGCACAUGUACCACCUGCUCGCCCUCGACGCGUCGCUCAAUCCCAAGUUGUUCGUCACACAGUUCCUGCUGGGUUUGCGCGACGAUCUGCGGGCGGCAGUCCGCCUCCAGGAGCCGUCCAAUCUCACACGCGCGGCGGUGUUGGCCCGGAUCGUCGAAGAGGAAGUGGGCACACAACGUGCUCGGCCGCGCAUUAUUCCGGCGGGCCGCCCACCACCACCACCACCACCACCCCUACAGCUUCCUCCACGGGCCCCGACGGCGCCGCGGCCUGGCGUCGUGGGCGUGCCCAACGACGAUCUGGCGCGGGAGCGUCAACUGCGCGAGCACCGGCGUGCAAACGGCCUCUGCUUCAAGUGUGGAGAUCGUUACUCCCGCGAUCAUCGGUGCAAGCCUGCAACUCAGUUGCUCACAAUCCACGUCGGCGACUACGGAGAGGUUCUCGGCGAUGACGCGGUGCAUGCCCUGGACCUGCUCGACGCCCCAGUGGAGCAAGAGCCUGCACCGGAAUGUUGCGUGCUCUCCACACACACGGUUGCCGGCACGGAGUCGUCGCGCACCAUUCGUCUGCACGCGCUCGUCGGCAAUCAGGUGAUGUUGCUGUUAGUCAACUCCGGGAGCACACACAGUUUCGUCUCCAAGGAGUUCGCCGAGCGUGUGCACGCGGUUUCUGUGCCCGUGCCCGCAGUGGAGGUCCGGGUGGCCAACGGCGAGCGCAUGACGUGCAACAGCAUGGUAAAGGGACUGAACUGGUGGAUUCAAGGACACACGUUCGCCACAGACAUGAGGCAACUGGAUUUGGGUGCUUAUGACGGCAUGCUCGGCAUGGACUGGCUGGAGCAGUUCGGCCCGAUGACUUGUCACUGGCUGGAGAAGACACUGACGUUCGACCACCAAGGCGCCAUGAUCACUCUGCAAGGUGUUCGUCCAAAGCAGAAUGACAAGCUGGAAGAAAUCGAGCCCGAUCAGGUGUGCAAAUGGCAAGCUGGGAAUGACAUUUGGUACAUGGCAGUCCUUGAUCUGCCCUGUGCACCGGAGCCGCAGAUUACCAAGAUGCCACCCAGUGUCCAGAGUGUACUGACGGACUUCGCGGACGUGUUCGCUGACCCGAAGGGUUUGCCUCCCCAUCGCCGCUACGACCAUGCAAUCACCCUCGUCGACGACGCACGCCCGGCGAACUCGCGCCCUUACCGCUACUCGCCACUACAGAAAGAUGAAAUCGAGCGCCAGGUGCAGGAGAUGCUGCAGUCCGGCGUGAUUGAGCACAGCAUGAGCCCCUUCGCCACGCCCGUGCUGCUCAUCAAGAAAAAGGACGGCACCUGGCGUUUUUGUGUCGACUACCGCCGGCUCAACGAUGCCACUAUCAAAAACAAGUUCCCCCUGCCCAUUGUCGAUGAACUGCUCGACGAAUUAGCGGGCGCGGCAUUCUUCUCCAAACUGGAUCUUCGCGCUGGCUACCAUCAGAUACGCAUGCGCGCGGGCGAUGAGGAGAAGACCGCGUUCAAGACCCACCAUGGCCAUUUCCACUUUAAAGUCAUGCCAUUCGGCCUGACGAAUGCUCCGGCAACAUUCCAGUGCCUCAUGAACGCGAUCUUCGCCAAGUACGUCCGUAAGUUUGUCAUAAUAUUCCUUGAUGACAUUUUGAUCUUUAGCGAAACCUUGGAGGAGCACCUGGAACACCUUCGUCUCGUCCUCGCCCUGCUCCGGGAGCACCAGUUGUACGCCAAGGAGUCCAAGUGUUCGUUUGCCCAGGCCAGUAUCUCCUACCUGGGCCACAUCAUCUCCAAGGAGGGCGUCGCCAUGGACCCCGAGAAGACGCAGGCUAUGGUCGUGUGGCCUACUCCAACAAACACGACUGAACUUCGCGGCUUCCUCGGCCUCACCGGCUACUACCGCAAGUUCAUCGCGCACUAUGGCAUCGUCGCCAAGCCGCUCACAAGUUUGCUGACCAAGAAGGGCUUCGAGUGGACAGAGAAGGCGCAGGUGGCCUUCGAUCUCCUCAAGCGAGCAAUGGUGACCGCGCCCGUGCUUGCACUCCCAGAUUUCGAGCGCCCGUUUGCGAUCGAGACGGACGCCUGCGACACCAGCGUUGGCGCGGUGCUGGCACAGGAAGGGCACCCGGUGGCAUUCCUCAGCAAGGCCCUGGGGGUGCGUAACCAGCGGCUCUCAGCGUAUGAGAAGGAGUUCAUUGUCGUCAUGAUGGCAAUCGAGAAGUGGCGAGCGUACUUGCAAAGGGGUCCCUUCACCAUCAUCACCGAUCACAAGAGUCUCUGCAACCUGCAAGAUCAGCAGCUCGCCACGGACCUGCAACGCAAGGCCAUGGCCAAGCUGGUCGGACUCCAAUUCCAGUUCCGCUACCGUCGUGGCAGUGAAAACGGAGCCGCAGAUGCUCUUUCCCGCGUGGGCGCGUCUCUGAACCUGGACGCGCUCUCCCUGUGCCAGCCCGCAUGGGUUCAGGAGGUGGCAAACUCAUACGCCACGGACGCUGACGCACAGGAUCCUCUGGCUCAGCUCGCGAUCCACAGCCCGGACGACGAGGGUUACAAGCUCUACAAGGGCCUCAUCCGCAAGAAGGAGCGCCUGUGGAUCGGCAAGAACACGGCCUUGUGCACCAAGAUCAUCAGCGCGCUGCACGACAGCGCGAUAGGUGGCCACUCUGGCGCCACGGCCACCUACCAGCGCAUCAGGAAGCUCUUUGUGUGGGAUGGAUUGAAGGCCGAUGUCACCGACUACGUGCGGCAGUGCCCAGUGUGUCAGCACGCCAAGCACGAGCAAUCCAAGCCGGCGGGCACGCUCACGCCAUUGCCCGUGCCAACCACUCCCUGGCGCGACCUGACCAUGGACUUCGUGGAAGGAUUACCAGCGUCGGAGGGCUUCGAUUCCAUCAUGGUGGUAGUGGAUCGGCUCACCAAGUCAGCACACUUCAUUCCGCUUCGUCACCCAUUCAAAGCUCCCCAAGUGGCCAAGGUUUUCUGGGAUCAUAUCGUCAAGCUGCACGGCAUUCCGAGCUCCAUUGUCUCCGACCGUGACCGUGUCUUCACCAGUGCUCUCUGGCGCGAGCUCUUUGCCAGCGCAGGCACCAAGCUGCUCUUCUCUACGGCAUACACCCCCAGACAGACGGCCAGAGUGAGCGAGUCAAUCAGUGCAUGGAAAUGUACCUGCGAUGCGCGGUGCACGACGCGCCCCGGCAAUGGCGCCGCUGGUUGCCGACCGUGGAAUUCUGGUACAACUCGUCUUUUCAUUCCUCCAUCAAAUGUUCCCCCUUCAAGGCUCUGUACGGUGUGGAGCCCAACAUCGGCGCCAUGGCAUUCUGGGAUGACAAGACGGUGCCCAUGA